Molecule: ribosomal RNA, 597 nt
Filed under: uncultured bacterium
Lineage: Bacteria
Description: bacterial SSU rRNA
Rfam family: Bacterial small subunit ribosomal RNA
Source: RNAcentral
CCUACGGGAGGCAGCAGUGGGGAAUUUUCCGCAAUGGGCGAAAGCCUGACGGAGCAAUACCGCGUGAGGGAGGAAGGCUCUUGGGUUGUAAACCUCUUUUCUCAGGGAAGAUAAUGACGGUACCUGAGGAAUAAGCAUCGGCUAACUCCGUGCCAGCAGCCGCGGUAAUACGGAGGAUGCAAGCGUUAUCCGGAAUGAUUGGGCGUAAAGCGUCCGCAGGUGGUUUUGAAAGUCUGCUGUUAAAGCGUGCGGCUUAACCGCAUAAGGGCAGUGGAAACUAUGAGACUAGAGUGCGUUAGGGGCAGAGGGAAUUCCCAGUGUAGCGGUGAAAUGCGUAGAGAUUGGGAAGAACACCGGUGGCGAAGGCGCUCUGCUAUACCGUAACUGACACUGAGGGACGAAAGCUAGGGGAGCGAAUGGGAUUAGAUACCCCAGUAGUCCUAGCCGUAAACGAUGGAUACUAGGCGUUGUCUGUAUCGACCCGGACAGUGCCGUAGCUAACGCGUUAAGUAUCCCGCCUGGGGAGUACGCAGGCAACUGUGAAACUCAAAUGAAUUGACGGCUGGAGACGUGCCGACGACGACGACGAGGGAGUAG